RNAcentral lists this non-coding RNA (738 nucleotides) under Novacerus sp. FZ-2019. The record is from RNAcentral. Lineage: Eukaryota; Metazoa; Arthropoda; Collembola; Entomobryomorpha; Tomoceridae.
AUAAAGUUUGAUUCUUACUUAAUAAUUUAGGAUUUAAAUUUUAUACAUAUAUACAUAUUUAUAUUAAUUUAGGUAGUAUUUUAUAUUAUACAAUUAUAAAUUAUAGGAUAUAAAAUUUUAUUGAGUUUUGGAAAAGUUCGUGCCAGCAUCUGCGGUUAUACGUAAAAUGUAAUUUAAUUAUUUCAGUAAAAUUUAGUUUUAUGAUUAAAUUAUGAUAAUAUAUUAAAAUAUUAGGUGAAAUUAUUUUUUAGUACUUAUUUAUAUUUUAUUUACUAUUAAUUUUAUGAAUAAAAACCUGGAUUAGAUACCCAGUUAUUUUAAUUUUAAAUUUUUUACUCAAGUAGUAUAAUUUAUUUUAUAAACUUAAAGAAUUUGGCGGUAUUUCAUUCCUUUUAGAGGAACCUGCUCUAUAAUCGAUAGUCCACGUAUACCUUACUUUAAUUAAAUAAUUUAUAUAUCGUUGUUUUUGAGUUAAUUAAAAAAUUUUCUCUAGGGUUUUUAUUAAAAUGAUAAUAAAUCAAGGUGUAGUUUAUAAUAAAGUAGAAGUGGGUUACAAAAAAUUAAGUUUUGGAUUUUAAUAAUUAAUUUAUUUGGUGAAAUUGGAUUUAAAAGUAAAAUAUUAAUAAAUUGAUUUUUUGAAAGGGGUUCUGAAUUAUGUACACAUCGCCCGUCGCUCUUAUUUUACAAUAAGAUAAGUCGUAACAAAGUAGGGUUUCCGGAAGGAGGGCCUAGAUUGUA